RNAcentral lists this ribosomal RNA (497 nucleotides) under uncultured bacterium. Its description in RNAcentral is "partial 16S ribosomal RNA". It matches the Rfam family "Bacterial small subunit ribosomal RNA", at positions 28 to 507 of the family's 1533-position model. The record is from RNAcentral.
GAUGAACGCUGGCGGCGUGCCUAAUACAUGCAAGUCGAGCGAACAGACGAGGAGCUUGCUCCUCUGACGUUAGCGGCGGACGGGUGAGUAACACGUGGAUAACCUACCUAUAAGACUGGGAUAACUUCGGGAAACCGGAGCUAAUACCGGAUAACAUGUUGAACCGCAUGGUUCAACAGUGAAAGACGGUCUUGCUGUCACUUAUAUAUGGAUCCGCGCCGCAUUAGCUAGUUGGUAAGGUAACGGCUUACCAAGGCAACGAUGCGUAUCCGACCUGAGAGGGUGAUCGGCCACACUGGAACUGAGACACGGUCCAGACUCCUACGGGAGGCAGCAGUAGGGAAUCUUCCGCAAUGGGCGAAAGCCUGACGGAGCAACGCCGCGUGAGUGAAGAAGGUCUUCGGAUCGUAAAACUCUGUUAUUAGGGAAGAACAAAUGUGUAAGUAACUAUGCACGUCUUGACGGUACCUAAUCAGAAAGCCACGGCUAACUACGUG